UCAUAUGCUUGUCUCAAAGAUUAAGCCAUGCAUGUCUAAGUGCAUGCCGCAUUAAGGUGAAACCGCGAAUGGCUCAUUAAAUCAGUUAUGGUUCCUUAGAUCGUACCAUCCUACUUGGAUAACUGUGGUAAUUCUAGAGCUAAUACAUGCCGACAAGCUCCGACCCUCGUGGGACGAGCGCUUUUAUUAGAACAAGACCAAUACGGGUCCGGUCAAACGGUCCGUCUCCCUUUUGGUGACUCUGGAUAACUUUGAGCAGAUCGCACGGUCCUAGCACCGGCGACGCAUCUUUCAAAUGUCUGACCUAUCAACUGACGAUGGUAGGUUAUAUGCCUACCAUGGUUGUAACGGGUAACGGGGAAUCAGGGUUCGAUUCCGGAGAGGGAGCCUGAGAAACGGCUACCACAUCCAAGGAAGGCAGCAGGCACGCAAAUUACCCAAUCCCGGCACGGGGAGGUAGUGACGAUAAAUAACAAUACGAGACUCACGCGGGAGUCUUCGUCAUUGGAAUGAGUACACUUUAAAACCUUUAACGAGGAUCUAUUGGAGGGCAAGUCUGGUGCCAGCAGCCGCGGUAAUUCCAGCUCCAAUAGCGUAUAUUAAAGUUGUUGCGGUUAAAAAGCUCGUAGUUGGAUCUCGGUGCCGGACCGGCAGUCCGCGUGGCUGCGGUACACUGCCGGCCUCGGGGCCAUCAAACCGGCCGUCUCUUGGUGCUCUUUACUGAGCGCCUUGAAGUGACCGGGACGUUUACUUUGAACAAAUUAAAGUGCUCAAAGCAGGCGCGACCCGCCCGCAUAGGCCAGCAUGGAAUAAUGGAAUAGGACCUCGGUUCUAUUUUGUUGGUUUUCGGAACCCGAGGUAAUGAUUAAUAGGGACAGACGGGGGCAUUCGUAUUGCGGCGCGAGAGGUGAAAUUCAUGGACCGUCGCAAGACGAACUACUGCGAAAGCAUUUGCCAAGAAUGUUUUCAUUAAUCAAGAACGAAAGUUAGAGGUUCGAAGGCGAUCAGAUACCGCCCUAGUUCUAACCAUAAAUGAUGCCGACCAGUGAUCCGCCGGACUUUAUUCCGAGACCCAGCGGGCAGCUUCCGGGAAACCAAAGUGUUUGGGUUCCGGGGGAAGUAUGGUUGCAAAGCUGAAACUUAAAGGAAUUGACGGAAGGGCACCACCAGGAGUGGAGCCUGCGGCUUAAUUUGACUCAACACGGGGAAACUCACCCGGCCCGGACACCGGAAGGAUUGACAGAUUGAGAGCUCUUUCUYGAUUCGGUGGGUGGUGGUGCAUGGCCGUUCUUAGUUGGUGGAGCGAUUUGUCUGGUUAAUUCCGAUAACGAACGAGACUCUARCCUGCUAAAUAGCUGGCCCAUAYAAUCGGUGCGCCGUGCCCUUCUUUCCCUUCNNNNNNNNNNNNNNNNNNNNNNNNNNNNNNNNNNNNNNNNNNNNNNNNNNNNNNNNNNNNNNNNNNNNNNNNNNNNNNNNUUAGAUGUCCGGGGCCGCACGCGCGCUACAAUGGAAGGUUGAGCAGGUCUGUUUCCCUAGUCCNAGAGGACCGGGUAACCCUGUGAGAUCCUUUCUUGGUUGGAAUCGGGGCCUGGAACCAACCCCGUGAACUAGGAAUUCCUAGUAGGCGCGAGUCAUCAACUCGCGCCGAUUACGUCCCUGCCCUUUGUACACACCGCCCGUCGCUACUACCGAUUGAAUGAUUUAGUGAGGUCUUCGGACUGGCGGYCGUGGCGGCUCUCGGGUCGCGGCGGCGUG
Molecule: ribosomal RNA, 1755 nt
Filed under: Paralamyctes cammooensis
Lineage: Eukaryota; Metazoa; Arthropoda; Chilopoda; Lithobiomorpha; Henicopidae
Description: 18S ribosomal RNA
Rfam family: Eukaryotic small subunit ribosomal RNA
Source: RNAcentral